UCAAACAUCAAGUAGCCAAAGACUACAAAAUUAUGGUGGAACAACAAAAUAAAAUUGUUUAGCAAUAUUAUUCUACUUUUUAUGAGUUAAAACUUCAUGACUUAAAAAAGAAAAUAUGUUAUUUAUUUUAAAAUUUAUCUGGUUCAAGUGUAUGAACACUAAACAAGGAUUAGGUUAAGUGAGGAGUAACAUAACAAAUUGUUUGAAGAGCUACUUGGUAAGUUUCUGUACUUGAAUUAAGAUAUAGGGAACAAGAAUAAUGCUAUAAUGUUCAAUUCCUGAUUGUUUGCUUAUAAGUUGCAAGAUUAACUUGCAUUUAAGAGAUCUCUAAAACCAAGAAAGCGGAAAAAGCGAGAGGAGAUAGAGAGUAAAUGAGAUCAUGUAAAAGUAUCUACACACCUUUCUGACCUGUUCUCCCUCCCCACACAAAAUCUCCAUCCUCUAGGAGCAGGAAUUUUAUCACAGGACAGAUCUCUAGCCAUUUCUUGUAAAUAAAGAAUAAAAAAGGAAAGAGAUAGAAAUAGACGAUGAGUGGAACAAAAAUAAACGGUGAAGAUGCCCUCAGGAGAAGGAUGAAGUGUUCAAAUUCUCAUUUGACAGUUGAAGCAGUUACACAAGAUACUUUUCUAAAUUGUUUUUAUAAUUACACAUCUGAUGUCCCAGGCCCACUUGUUUUAGUGGGCUUCCUCCUAGAAUAGGCCUUCAGAAUACGAGGCUUAUUACUAACAGGCUGACAAGGGCCCGCGAACUGACCUGCACCUGAAUUACCUGGUAGCAAAUGCAAGUAAUUUUGUCAGUGACCAGACCCAAACGUGUAGGUAGCGGUGAGAGUGAAAAAGAUGAAGAUGGUGGAUACAGUGUCAUGCAACUAAGAUGUCAAGAAGGAACCCCCUUUCUCGAGGUUACAGAAGAUUGCAGAAGAUAGGGUUGGAAAGAGUUGUUGGUCUUGACCCAGUUUUGAGUCAGGCCAGCGCCCAGCAAUACCCGAACCUAGAAUUCUAGUCCAUUAUUGGCCCAAAAAUGCUUAAAGAAUGGACGUGCCCAAAAACUAACCUGACUCAAUAUUGACACAAGCUGCAACUGAGUCACCCGCCAAAACCUAUGACCUCACUACCCACCCAACUCAAAAGGCCCAUUGGAUUGAAUUGGGCCCUAGAUGUCUCUUCGGUUUGGGUCGGAUGGGGAAUUUGAACUCGAACCCGCCCAUUGUCCAGCUCUACUUCCCUGUGACCACAAAACCUAGUUUUAACUUUUAAUGAUGUUAAUGUGAUAUUUUUGAUGUAAUUUAACAUUAAAUCUUCCACUGAAGAAAUAUCUUCAUAAAAGAGAUCCUGUAAUAAUAGUAUCAUGAUCUGUAAUUAAAUUUAUUGAUUA
Molecule: non-coding RNA, 1374 nt
Organism: Cicer arietinum (chickpea)
Lineage: Eukaryota; Viridiplantae; Streptophyta; Magnoliopsida; Fabales; Fabaceae
Source: RefSeq, a predicted model, not a curated record